Molecule: RNA transcript, 1922 nt
Organism: Camelus dromedarius (Arabian camel)
Lineage: Eukaryota; Metazoa; Chordata; Mammalia; Artiodactyla; Camelidae
Gene: SNRPF
Gene name: small nuclear ribonucleoprotein polypeptide F
Exons: 9
Source: RefSeq, a predicted model, not a curated record
CCUGUCGUAGCCAUCUGGCCCUGGGAAGGGGGCUUCAGUGUUUGCUCCGAGUUUGUGAGGCGCAAAUUAUUCCCAGGGCUUCCUUACUCCGUUAUUGAAUUUCUGCCACUCACUCAGUGUCAAAUUGGUUGACAGAAGAGCCCGCCAAUCUCGUUUUCUUCAAGAUCUGCCCAAUUGACUGACGUAGAAAUUUUUCAAGAUAACGUUUCCUUCCUGAGGAGGCAUCCGGUUGUGAGCUCCAGUGGCGGUGACUGCUUUGAAUUUGGCUUCUUCGGACGGCAGCCGGGUGAAUAAGUUUCCACAAUGGGAAAGUCCCUGAGAAAUAAGAUUUAAGGAACAGGAAAAGGCACCUAUGUCCGCAAUUACCUUACCUGAAAUUGCCAAUUUAAGGUAAUGAAGUAGAUUCCGAAAAGAAACGAAAGGAAGAGACAGAGGGAGAAAAAUCUGGAAAAGAGGGAAGUUAAGCCUACAGCUGCAGCAAAAACCCUCCAGAGAACCAUGUUUACAGCUGUAGUCAUUCCGGAUCUUAACAGUAAGAAUCAGCGAUCCUGUUCAGUGAGUAACAGUUCAUAUGGUGCUCAUAACAUGAACAGGCUCUGAAGCUGGUGGCCAAGAGGAGUUCAGAGGAAUAGUGAUUAUGGAGUGUAAAGUAACAUCGGCAAACAUAGCUGACGCCUGGGAAGACUUCUGCUCCUCAAUCAGUUGCAGGAAGGAUAGGAAGAGAAGUGAAAUAUGACAUAAAAAGAAGUUUCAGGAAGAUACCAGCACGGGCUCCAGGAACAGGCUGUCUCAGUAACUCCUGCCCCUUCAGAAGCACACAGACUGCCACCACGUGCGAGGAAACCUGAAGGAUGAGUCUGCCAUGGCAGCUGGCAGAUGAGCCAGUGGGAUAAAAUGAGCAUUACAGAAUAGAGAGCAGUCAGAUAGAAGAGGACCUGGGCAGAGGAGCCACCAAAGCAUAGAAUCUGUAGGAAAGUGAGGAAGAAACUGGAGAGCUCCGAACUCGUUCUCACAGAUGUACAACAAAGGAAACACCCAUCAGCCAAGCUGGAGAGAAAUCACGCUCUACAGGGUACAGAGCGAACCCUCGAAGCAGAGGCCGAGAGAGCCGUGGUCGGAGGUGAAAGGUCACGCUGCUAUUUGGCGGCCAUUUCUCUUGAAGCUCCGCGGCUGGCGACCUACGGCAGCUGCUCCAGUUAGGAGGGUCGAACGACAGCUGAGUCGGCGGCGAAUAGCCUGCAGCAUUUGCCCACUACUGCAUCAGUAUCGCGAUGAGUUUGCCCCUCAACCCCAAACCUUUCCUCAACGGAUUAACAGGAAAGCCAGUAAUGGUGAAACUUAAGUGGGGAAUGGAGUACAAAGGCUACCUGGUAUCUGUAGAUGGCUAUAUGAACAUGCAGCUUGCAAACACAGAAGAAUACAUAGAUGGAGCAUUGUCUGGACACCUGGGUGAAGUUUUAAUAAGGUAACAAAACAGUAAUAGUAUAUAUAAGGAGUUACUGGUGAGCAUUAGAAAUACUUGUUUAAAUAAAUUAAUUAGUGCCCCAAUCUCAGAAUUACUUUUAAAAAAAAUCACUAUUAAUUUAAUAUAAUAUUCUACUACUAGACUUUAAGAGUCUUGAAAUCAUUAAACUUGACAAAGCAGAUUUAAGUAUUUUGGAGCUAUUCAUUAAGAUUUUUUUUCUAGUGUUGAAAUUAAACUUCCUAGCUCUUAACUGUACCUUUUUCAGUGGUUUUAGACACAAGAGCUUGGUUUUUAAAUUUUAGGUGGGUCUGGCUGCUGUUAGGGAUUUUUGUAUUAUAUUUAUUUUCUACAACUAGCUUCACACCUCCAAAUUCUAGUCAUUAUUCCCUUUGGAAGAUUAUACAGAUAUCAUUGUAUAACAACCACAUGGUAGAAAAAUGAGUACCAUGUGCUUUUU